Pongo pygmaeus (Bornean orangutan) is the source of this 3985-nucleotide long non-coding RNA. RefSeq lists it as uncharacterized. NCBI's taxonomy places the organism in Eukaryota, Metazoa, Chordata, Mammalia, Primates, Hominidae. The transcript has 2 exons. The record is from RefSeq and is a predicted model, not a curated record.
UUCAAGUGUUCUAAUGGCUUACCCUGGGGCGACACACCUCUCUGCUCUCACCUUAUGCGUGAUCCUCCUUGUCUCCUGCCUCCACUGGCCUUCCUUUUCCUGAGCACCCACGGUCUUUCCUGCCUCAGACCCUAUGCUGUUGCAGUGCCUGGAAUGCCACCCCCAUGCCCUCUGCCUGGGUGGCUCCUUCCCAUUCUCCAACAGGCUUCCCUGAUCCCUGUGCCUAGAGUGGCAUCCCUUGCCUUGUUUAUUUCCUUCAUUUUCCUUAUCAUAAAUUGUGAGUCACUGCACUGUGUGUGUACUUGGGUAACAGAAUGUUUAAGUGUGACUCGUUCUGUCUCUGUGAGGCCCCUGAGUCCAAGGACUCAGCGGGGAAGGGCUCCUCCACAUUUCAAAGCAGGGCACUGGUUGGCCUGUGCAGGACUUGCAAAGGAGGUGUAUGAACACCGGUUUUGUGGCUUUUAUGCUGUCCCCCAUCUUGAGGCUAUAAAGAGAUUGAAUUUGAGGAGGGAGAGAGAAUUUUCCUUUGGAGACAUUUGCAGAAAUACUGGGCACUUCCCUCCCAGCACCACGGGGAUCCUCCUUUGCUAGUUUAAUUCUAGGGAGAAAGGGCUUAGGAGGAGGGCUUGACUGUGUGUCCUGGAGUCAUGGCUGGGGUUUGACACCUGCCUGAAGAGCAGUGUCCUGAGAGCACAGAGAGAGGGGCGGAAUCUGGAAUCUGCACUGCCUCAACAGCAGGGCGAAGCUGCUAGUCUUCUGGAGGCUGCUUAAAAGGGACCUGCCCCAAGACAGGGUGGGGAGGGGUGAAGGAGUGGGCCCAAUGCUCCCAGGCAGAGAGGGUUAGAGCUGGGAGCCACUGGCCAGAGAAUUUUCCAGAUCACAGAGUUGGCAGCAGAAUCUCUCUCUGAAACUAGGAAAGCACCCAAGGGGAGAGAGAGAGAGAGCUUCCUUGAGGACUGAGCUGUUCAGGGGAUGUAGACUCACCACCCCUUUUUCCUUCCUCCCUCAGCUUAACCCCCAAGGAGCAGAAACCCAGGCUGGAAAGGAGGAGCCCCAAAAAGAGGGAGAAGGAGACUGCACUCUCUUUUCCCGCCAGAGGCCUCAAGCAGUUCUGAGCUGAAGGAAGAGAGCAGUUUCCUUGUGAGCAUUCCCCUAAUACGCCACCUGCACCUGAAUGCAGGGCUCGGAUUCGGCUUCCGGUGGACCUCGCUGAAUCAAUCAAUAUCAGCUGGAUGAAUGAAGAACUUUUACUGAGAGGCUUUCUGGGACUCUGGAAUGCAUGGCCCAAGGAAACAUUGGGCCAAGUGGAAGAAAGUCCUUCUAGGGUUAGAUUAGAUGUCCUCUUUCAGGUGAUGUACAGGCUGAAGACUUUAGGAAUUGUGGGCUAUUGCUCCUACUUGUCAUGUACUUGGAGGGCUAGGAGGAUGGAAGGGUAAGUUUUAUCAUUGUUUGCCUCAUUGGCUCAUCCGGGCUGGCCUAGAUGUGCUUAUCAUGAACAGGAAGCCUGUGAAGGGAAGUGUGUGUGUGUGUGUGUGUGUGUGUGUGUGUGUGUGUGUGUGUCUCACGUACCUGGUUCGGGAGUCCAGGAAGGCCUUGUUGACUUGGACCUUGGCCUGACUCACAGUAUCGGAGAUGGCAGAGGUUCUGGUAGUCUGUGCUUGGGGUUGGAGUGGGGAGCAGGAAGUAGGAUGUCAGACACCACUCCUUUGCGAUGUCUUCUGCUUUUGUCUCCCUCUUUCUCAGCCAUUACCCCCACCCCUCAAAUCUGGGCAGGCAAGAGAUCAAGAUUAGGAAAGUUUCAUAAGAGUCCUUAAGGGGAAAAAGCACAGAAUGGGAAGAAUACUCUUGGAUCUUAAACAAGAUGUCAAAAUUGCUCUUUGAGAUCUCACUAGAAUGCCCAGAGAUGGGAUGAAGAGGGAGUGUGGCCACUCAGGGUGGCUUGGGCUACUGGACUGUGGGGGUUUUUCUGGUUCCUGGUGAGAUGGUCUCAUGGACUAUCUCAAGUUCAUCAAAGAGGACCCACUGAUCACCAGGACCCUGACGUAGAGAAGGGGAUGGCAUGAGAGUAAUGGUGGGAUUCCCUGUUACCUCUUGUAUUGGGGUCUGGAGCAUGGAGGACAGGAUCUGUUUUCUCAACAAGGAGAGUGUAGUGGGUUAAAUAAUGGCCCUCCCAAAAUUCACAUCUGCAUGGAACCUCAGAAUGUGACCUCAGAAUGUGACCUUAUUUGGAAGGAGGGUCUUUGUAGAUGUUAUGAAUUAAAAUGAGGUCAUGCUGCCUUAGCAUUGGCCCUAAAUCCAAUAAAUGGUGGUUUUAUGAGAAGAGGAGAGGACACACAAAGAAAAAGGCCAUGCAAAGACUGAGGCAGAGAUUGGAGUGUUGCAGCUACAAGCCAGGGAACACCAAGGACACCAGGGCCACCAGAAGCUGGAAGAGGAAAGGAAGCAUUCUUCCCUAGAGCCUUCAGAGGGAGCACAGCCCUGCCAACACCUUGAUUUUGGACUUCUAUCCUCCCGGACUGUGAGAGAAUACAUUUCUGUUGUGUUAGGCCAUCCAGUUGGUGUGCUUUGUGACAGCAGCCCCCAGAAAACCUGUAAAGGGAGACACUCACCUCUUGUGGCAGAUGCUGCAGCCUGAAGCAAGACGAGGGAAGCCAGGAGGGCUGGGAGAUGGAGAAGGACCCUCAUCACUGAAACGAGAGGGAGGAUCACACUAUGAGCCUCUCUAGAGCCCAAGUGGGAGGGUUUGAAUCACAGAAAGCAGAGAAAGCCCAAGGAGCGCCAGACACCCUAACAUUGGAACAGGAAAUGAGAAACCACAUUAAUGAAUGAAGCAUCUACCAUAUACACAGGCCCGUGCUAGGUACUGGGAGAGACGGAAAGAGGAGAAGCCAUGGUGGAAGAGAAAGAACUCAGGCUUCAGGAUCUAAGGCCCUGAGUUAUCAUUCUGCAUUUGCUCCAAAUAGCCCUGUGACCUUGGGCAGGUUACUUAACAUCUCUGGGGUCCUGGCUUGCUAUGGGAGGAGGUGGGACCAAGUGAUCCAGAAUGUUCAAUUCUGCCCUGACAGCCUGUGGUCCGGAGAUGCUGUACCUGUCUUGUCACAGGUGUGAGAAACGCUGUUGCCAAGGCUGGAGCCUGCCUUUGAGUUCCCCUCCCUCCUUCCCUCCAGGAUGCAUUGCUCCCUGCAAGCCAGUUUCCUCUGGUCCAGCCCCAGGGGAGAAUGCCUGAGAGGCAGACACUCAGCACCUCCCUUCGGAAACGUGGCAGGGGCUUCCCCUUCCCUCAAAGUGCCAACUUGAUGGCAAUACUGAAAGAAAGUUAUGACAAAGCUCAGAGCUCCCCUGAGCCCAUAGCUGUGCCCCAGGAUGCCUGGAAAGAUUCCAGCUCAUGGAUUAACCCCUUCGCCAUGAGCUUUAACUCUAAACGCAAGUCUUUAGACUGAAAUUUGUGCAGCUUUGUUUUCUGAUGAGGGUCUUCAUUGGGCUUAGUGGAGCAGACCCCAUACAUCUUCUGAGGAGAUUCUGGCUCCAGCCCAGGGAGGCAGCCACAGCGUGCAGAUGGAAUGAUUGCGUGUUUAGACCAUGGUCCUGAGAGGCUCCUCAGCUUUCACAAGAGUGCCUGGGCUCUCCCUGCAGCACAGCGUUCACUGGUGGAAUCCAGAAGCACACCAGUGAGAGCAGCCUCAGGUUGCCCCCCAGCCAUGUCUCCCCAAGGCUCAGCUCCCAGAGAGAAAUCGUAGUUCUGGAGCUUUGCCUGACAGACCUCCCCGCCUGUCUUGCAGGCCCUCUCCAAAUCAUCUCCCCUUGGAACAGGCCAGACCAGGAGAACUCUGUAUCUGGAUCAGGUCAUUUCAGCCUCCUUCACCCCUGCCCGCCUCCAAUUUUUCCCUCUGCCCUUUUGUGGUCCCCCUAAUAAUUUGUAUCUUGUUGUACGUUUUGUCAGCUAACUCUAGAGAAAGGGCAAGGCAUGAAUAAAUACCUCUCUGGC